AAAACACUAGGGGGGAAUUUUUGGAUUGCACAAACUAUUCGUGAUGAAAAAUUCAGACAUCAUUAUAAUUCAGCUUUAAAAUAUGCAAAUUGGGGGAAUCACGAACCAAUAAUGUCCGGAAAAUGUCAAAAAUGUAUAGAAAUUGACGAAUGCGGGAAAUGGCAAACAACUUGCUGCACAGAUAAUAGAUAUUUUUUAUGCAAUUCUGGAGUCACAAAUGUGUCUUGCCAUGGAGGCUACUGCUAUCUUUAUCACAAAUCAAAAGUACUAUGCACUGCAGCAGAAACCAUUUGCUCAAAAAUAAAUGGAACUUUAGUAGAACCGAGCGACAGUGACGAAAAUCAAUUUC
Long non-coding RNA from Octopus sinensis (East Asian common octopus), 349 nucleotides. RefSeq lists it as uncharacterized. NCBI's taxonomy places the organism in Eukaryota, Metazoa, Mollusca, Cephalopoda, Octopoda, Octopodidae. The record is from RefSeq and is a predicted model, not a curated record. The transcript has 3 exons.